UGGGAAUUUUGGACAAUGGCGCAAGCCUGAUCCAGCAAUGCCGCGUGCAGGAUGAAGGCCUUCGGGUUGUAAACUGCUUUUGUACGGAACGAAAAGCCUCUCUCUAAUACAGGGGGGUGAUGACGGUACCGUAAGAAUAAGCACCGGCUAACUACGUGCCAGCAGCCGCGGUAAUACGUAGGGUGCAAGCGUUAAUCGGAAUUACUGGGCGUAAAGCGUGCGCAGGCGGUUUUGUAAGACAGUGGUGAAAUCCCCGGGCUCAACCUGGGAACUGCCAUUGUGACUGCAAGGCUGGAGUGCGGCAGAGGGGGAUGGAAUUCCGCGUGUAGCAGUGAAAUGCGUAGAUAUGCGGAGGAACACCGAUGGCGCGAGGGAGCGAUAC
This 382-nucleotide ribosomal RNA is filed under the name uncultured bacterium. RNAcentral's name for it is "partial 16S ribosomal RNA". It matches the Rfam family "Bacterial small subunit ribosomal RNA", at positions 356 to 727 of the family's 1533-position model. The record is from RNAcentral.